GGCUUAUCAUGGCGGAUCGGACAGCUCCCGGCUGCCAGCUCCGGCUGGAGUGGGUGUACGGGUACCGGGGUCACCAGUGCCGCAACAACCUGUACUACACGGCCGGCAAGGAGGUGGUCUACUUUGUGGCUGGGGUCGGGGUGGUUUACAACACCCGCGAGCACAGCCAAAAAUUCUUCUUGGGACACAACGACGACAUUAUCAGCCUUGCCUUACACCCAGAUAAAACUCUUGUUGCAACUGGCCAAGUUGGGAAGGAGCCAUACAUAUGUAUAUGGGAUUCCUAUAACGUUCAGACUGUGUCUAUUCUUAAAGAUGUCCAUACACAUGGAGUCGCCUGCCUGGCUUUCGACUCAGAUGGACAGCGUUUAGCCUCUGUGGGAUUGGAUGCCAAAAACACAGUCUGUAUUUGGGACUGGAGGAAGGGAAAACUUCUGGCCUCAGCCACGGGCCACUCCGACCGGAUUUUUGAUAUUUCCUGGGAUCCAUAUCAGCCAAACAGAGUGGUUAGCUGUGGAGUAAAACAUAUAAAGUUUUGGACACUAUGUGGAAAUGCCCUGACUGCAAAAAGGGGGAUAUUUGGCAAAACAGGGGACCUUCAGACCAUCCUUUGCCUUGCGUGUGCCAAAGAAGACAUCACCUACUCUGGUGCUCUAAAUGGUGACAUCUAUGUCUGGAAAGGGCUCAAUUUAGUUCGCACCAUUCAAGGGGCACAUAGUGCUGGAAUCUUUAGCAUGUAUGCUUGUGAAGAAGGCUUUGCCACUGGCGGACGAGAUGGCUGUAUACGAUUAUGGGACACUGAUUUCAAACCAAUAACCAAAAUUGAUCUCAGGGAGACAGAACAAGGAUAUAAAGGCCUCUCUAUCCGGAGUGUGUGCUGGAAAGCCGACCGUCUUCUAGCAGGAACCCAGGACAGUGAAAUAUUUGAAGUGAUUGUGCGAGAACGAGACAAGCCAAUGCUGAUCCUCCAAGGCCACUGUGAGGGGGAGCUCUGGGCUCUGGCUCUGCACCCCAAGAAGCCACUGGCUGUGACAGGCAGUGAUGACCGCUCUGUUAGGCUGUGGAGCCUGGCUGACCAUGCCUUGAUCGCCCGCUGUAACAUGGAGGAAGCAGUUCGUAGUGUUGCUUUCAGCCCUGAUGGAUCCCAGUUGGCCCUGGGCAUGAAGGAUGGCUCCUUCAUUGUUCUCCGAGUCAGAGAUAUGACAGAAGUGGUUCAUAUCAAAGAUCGAAAAGAAGUCAUUCAUGAAAUGAAAUUUUCUCCAGAUGGUUCUUAUCUCGCAGUGGGAUCCAAUGAUGGCCCAGUAGACGUCUAUGCUGUUGCCCAGAGGUAUAAGAAAAUUGGAGAAUGCAACAAGUCCCUUAGUUUCAUUACACACAUUGACUGGUCUUUGGAUAGUAAAUACUUGCAAACUAAUGAUGGCGCAGGAGAACGACUGUUCUACAAAAUGCCAUCUGGGAAGCCCUUAACAAGUAAGGAAGAAAUCAAGGGGAUUCCCUGGGCGUCCUGGACGUGUGUGAAAGGCCCGGAAGUGAGUGGAAUUUGGCCAAAAUACACUGACAUCAUUGACAUCAACUCAGUGGAUGCAAAUUACAACAGCUCAGUGCUGGUGUCUGGAGAUGAUUUUGGUCUGGUUAAAUUGUUUAAAUUUCCUUGUCUCAAGAAAGGAGCCAAAUUUAGAAAGUAUGUGGGCCAUUCUGCACAUGUCACAAACGUCCGCUGGUCUCAUGACUUUCAGUGGGUAUUAAGCACAGGAGGGGCUGACCACUCGGUUUUCCAGUGGAGAUUUAUUCCAGAAGGUGUCAGCAACGGCCUGCUGGAAACUGCACCCCAGGAAGGUGGCACUGAUUCCUACAGUGAAGAAUCUGAUUCGGAUUUAUCUGACGUGCCGGAGCUGGACUCUGAUAUUGAGCAAGAAACUCAAAUCAAUUAUGAUCGUCAGGUUUACAAAGAAGAUCUACCUCAGCUAAAGCAACAAAGUAAAGAGAAAAACCAUGCAGUGCCCUUCCUCAAACGAGAAAAGGCUCCCGAGGACAGCUUGAAACUCCAGUUCAUACACGGUUACAGGGGCUAUGACUGUAGAAACAACCUGUUCUACACACAAGCUGGAGAAGUGGUCUACCACAUUGCUGCCGUUGCUGUUGUGUACAACAGGCAGCAGCACUCCCAGAGGCUGUACCUGGGGCAUGAUGAUGACAUUCUCAGCCUGACCAUCCAUCCAGUGAAGGACUACGUGGCCACUGGGCAGGUUGGAAGAGAUGCUGCUGUUCAUGUGUGGGACACACAGACUCUAAAAUGUUUGUCACUAUUGAAAGGACAACAUCAGAGAGGAGUGUGUGCACUUGAUUUCUCAGCCGAUGGAAAAUGUCUGGUGUCGGUUGGUUUAGACGAUUUUCACAGUAUUGUAUUUUGGGACUGGAAAAAGGGAGAAAAGAUAGCCACAACAAGAGGACAUAAAGAUAAGAUAUUUGUGAUAAAGUGUAACCCACACCAUGUUGACAAACUGGUUACAGUUGGGAUAAAGCACAUCAAAUUCUGGCAACAAGCAGGUGGGGGCUUCAUCUCUAAAAGAGGAAUUUUUGGAAGUGUCAGAAAAUUGGAAACAAUGAUGUGUGUUUCUUACGGGCGAAUGGAAGAUCUAGUGUUCUCAGGAGCAGCGACUGGAGAUAUUUUUAUUUGGAAAGAUAUUCUACUACUGAAGACAGUGAAGGCUCAUGAUGGGCCUGUGUUUGCUAUGUAUGCACUGGACAAGGGUUUUGUAACAGGUGGAAAGGAUGGAAUCGUGGAGCUCUGGGAUGAUAUGUUUGAAAGAUGCUUGAAGACUUACGCCAUUAAAAGAGCAGCAUUGUCAACUAGCUCUAAAGGCUUGCUUUUGGAAGACAACCCUUCAAUUCGUGCCAUUACUUUGGGACAUGGACAUAUCCUGGUGGGAACAAAAAAUGGAGAAGUCCUGGAAAUUGAUAAAAGUGGCCCAAUGACGCUGCUUGUUCAGGGACACAUGGAAGGGGAGGUGUGGGGGCUGGCAGCUCACCCUCUUCUGCCCAUCUGUGCAACAGUGAGCGACGAUAAAACACUUCGCAUCUGGGAACUAUCCUCCCAGCACCGCAUGCUGGCGGUACGGAAGCUCAAAAAAGGUGGGAGAUGCUGUGCCUUCUCCCCUGAUGGGAAAGCCUUAGCAGUUGGCCUGAAUGAUGGGAGUUUCCUGGUCGUAAAUGCUGACACUGUUGAAGACAUGGUCUCCUUCCAUCACAGAAAAGAAAUGAUCUCUGAUAUUAAAUUUUCAAAAGAUACAGGAAAAUACCUUGCUGUGGCAUCCCAUGAUAACUUUGUGGAUAUUUACAAUGUACUUACGAGCAAAAGGGUUGGCAUCUGUAAAGGUGCUUCUAGCUAUAUUACACACGUUGACUGGGACUCUCGAGGGAAAUUGUUGCAAGUUAAUUCGGGUGCCAAAGAACAACUCUUCUUUGAAGCUCCAAGAGGCAAACGGCAUAUAAUAAGACCUUCAGAGAUUGAGAAGAUUGAGUGGGACACAUGGACCUGUGUCCUGGGGCCCACCUGUGAGGGGAUCUGGCCAGCACACAGUGAUGUGACCGAUGUAAAUGCUGCCAGUCUUACCAAAGACUGCUCCCUCUUAGCCACUGGGGACGAUUUUGGUUUUGUCAAGCUUUUUUCAUAUCCUGUCAAGGGCCAGCACGCAAGAUUCAAGAAGUAUGUGGGGCACAGCGCACAUGUCACCAACGUGAGAUGGCUGCACAACGACUCUGUGCUGCUCACGGUAGGCGGCGCUGACACAGCCUUGAUGAUCUGGACGAGGGAGUUUGUGGGGACCCAGGAGAGCAAGCUGGUGGACAGCGAGGAGUCAGACACUGAUGCAGAAGAGGAUGGAGGCUAUGACAGCGACGUUGCCAGAGAAAAGGCCAUUGAUUACACCACCAAGAUCUAUGCCGUGAGCAUCAGGGAAAUGGAGGGCACCAAACCACACCAGCAGAUGAAAGAAGUUUCAAUGGAAGAAAGGCAGGGAAUUGUCAAGGGAUCCAGACCACCUGUUAGCAGAGCAGCUCCCCAGCCUGAGAAACUCCAGAAGAACAAUGUCACCAAAAAGAAGAAACUGGUUGAGGAGCUGGCUCUUGACCACGUGUUUGGCUACAGAGGGUUCGACUGUCGCAAUAACCUGCAUUACCUGAAUGACGGUGCCGACAUCAUCUUCCACACAGCAGCGGCUGGUGUCGUUCAGAACCUCUCCACAGGGAGCCAGAGCUUCUACCUGGAGCACACGGAUGACAUCCUCUGCCUCACGGUGAACCAGCACCCCAAGUACAGAAAUGUGGUGGCCACCAGCCAGAUAGGUGACGUUGCGGAGACCCCAGGAACAACACCUUCCAUCCACGUCUGGGAUGCCAUGACCAAACACACUCUCUCCAUGCUGCGGUGCUCCCACUCAAAAGGGGUCAAUUACAUCAACUUCAGUGCAACCGGAAAGCUGCUGGUGUCAGUGGGCGUGGACCCUGAGCACACCAUCACCGUCUGGCGUUGGCAGGAAGGUGCCAAGGUUGCCAGCCGAGGGGGUCACCUGGAGCGCAUAUUUGUGGUGGAAUUUCGCCCGGAUUCAGACACGCAAUUUGUGUCUGUCGGAGUCAAGCAUAUGAAGUUCUGGACCCUGGCAGGCAGCGCCUUGCUUUACAAGAAAGGGGUCAUCGGGUCCAUGGAGGCUGCCAAGAUGCAGACGAUGCUCUCCGUGGCCUUCGGUGCUAACAACCUCACUUUCACGGGUGCCAUCAAUGGAGAUGUCUACGUGUGGAAGGACCACUUCCUCAUCCGGCUGGUGGCCAAGGCUCACACGGGCCCCGUCUUCACAAUGUACACGACCCUUCGGGACGGACUCAUAGUGACCGGCGGGAAAGAGCGGCCGACCAAAGAAGGAGGUGCUGUGAAACUGUGGGACCAGGAGAUGAAGCGCUGCAGAGCCUUCCAGCUGGAGACGGGGCAGCUGGUGGAGAGCGUGCGCUCCGUGUGCCGUGGCAAAGGAAAAAUCUUAGUGGGAACCAAAGAUGGAGAAAUAAUUGAAGUUGGUGAAAAAAAUGCAGCGUCUAACAUCCUGAUUGAUGGACACAUGGAAGGGGAGAUUUGGGGCCUGGCCACACACCCCUCCAAGGACAUCUUCAUCUCUGCCAGUAACGAUGGCACAGCCCGCAUCUGGGACCUGGCUGACAAGAAGCUGCUAAACAAGGUGAACCUGGGCCACGCGGCCAGGUGUGCAGCCUACAGCCCUGAUGGGGAGAUGGUGGCCAUUGGCAUGAAGAAUGGAGAGUUUGUCAUCUUGUUGGUGAACAGCCUGAAAGUUUGGGGGAAAAAACGAGACCGGAAAUCUGCUAUCCAAGAUAUCAGAAUCAGCCCCGACAGCAGAUUCUUAGCCAUUGGUUCUUCUGAACACACAGUUGACUUCUAUGACCUCACUCAGGGUACAAGCCUGAAUCGCAUUGGUUACUGCAAAGAUAUCCCAAGCUUUGUCAUUCAGAUGGAUUUUUCUGCGGAUGGCAAAUACAUCCAGGUGUCAACAGGAGCCUACAAGCGCCAGGUGCAUGAGGUGCCCCUGGGGAAGCAAGUAACCGAAGCCGCGGUCAUUGAGAAGAUCACCUGGGCCUCCUGGACAAGCAUUCUGGGAGAUGAAGUCAUUGGCAUCUGGCCGCGGAAUGCAGACAAGGCUGAUGUCAACUGCGCAUGUGUGACCCAUGCUGGCCUGAAUAUUGUCACAGGAGAUGACUUUGGGCUGGUGAAGCUCUUUGACUUUCCAUGCACAGAAAAAUUUGCCAAACAUAAGCGUUACUUUGGUCACUCGGCUCACGUGACGAACAUCCGUUUCUCUCAUGACGACAAGUAUGUGGUCAGCACUGGAGGGGAUGACUGCAGUGUAUUUGUGUGGCGAUGUCUGUAAAUGCCAGAAACCUCUUACUUUACUGCUGCUCCCACCCAGCAACUGCCGAGGCGCCCCCUCGUCACCAGCUGCUGGGAAACGCCUCCCACGCCACAGGCUGCACAAGCUCCUCGUGCUGGUGAAGGGGUAAGACAGCUCCUGUGCUUGGGAGUCUCCGAAACUGUGAUGCCAAGAAGGAAGAAGAGGAAACCGAGAUGCAGAAAGAUGAAGCAGGUUGCCAGACCGGUCACAGUGAUCUCAGGUGUAUCUCGCUCCAGAAUCUAUCUGCUCUGCUGUACUACAGAACCACCUACCGAGGAACCAUUACCGAGAAUCCAUCACAAAUGUGUAUGCUAUCACAGAGGCAGAAAAAAGGUUAAUAAACACUUCUAAAAAAAUACAAAACGGCAGCUCUCACUUGGGACCUACAAAUUCUAUGCUAUUCCAUGGCAAAUACUUUGCAGCAUUAGGGCCAAUGCAAAUUACCGGAAGUCAAAGCUCCCAUCUGAGGCUGGAGGAAAGCGGGCCAAAGGGCAUGAGGUCUCAUAAAUACCGGAAGAGGGCAAGGGCCAUGUCUUGUUUGUUUUCUGUCCAGGGGAAUAAGGAAUUAAAUUUAACUGUGCAGAUUUUCGUUAGAUGAUGUCUCUGUGGGGGCAGAGGCCAUUUCUAAAGAAAAUGGAGGGAGGGUGUUUAACAGAACUUCCAAAAUUACUUGGGCAAUUCUGACAUUUUCAAACUUUUUCUGCAUUUUUAAACACUGAAAAGUAUUUGACCUUUUUUUGACAUCUUCAGCCUCAUUCAUUAAUAUCACUUCGACUAUCUCUACAUUUUCCUCAGCCCACUUCCCUUCUAAGUUUUCUGUGAGCCAAAGAAACCAGAAAGGAAACUGUCAAAGUGUGUAUGUUAAUAACCUCAUAAGCACCUGAGGGCUAGAUUUUAAUGUUCUUUUGGGUCAGCUAUUUCUGGAGUUCAGGCCUUUUUUUUGGUUCACUCUCAGAUUUAACGCUGUAUUCUAGAACAUGAUAGUUACCUGAUCAUCAGGCAACUAUAGGCAACUAUAGGUAGAAAUUUUCUUAUAAACAAUUUUUACAUUUUCACUGAAAAUCACAGAACUACUAUCAUACAGAAUCUACUCUUUAUCACCCAAAGCCAUGUGAGAAAAAAAGAACAUUUGCCCAAAACACCUGGUCUUAGUAUCUAGUAGAUGACAUUUUUAGAAUUUUUCUUAGGAUUUGAGGUUUCAAAAGACAGGAGGAACCUUUAGUAAGACUCAAGAGCUUUAAGAAGCCCCAAAGCUGAGCCCAGCAGAGACUGUCAUAUGCUUUUCUUUAUUAUCAUAGGAGGAGAGUGGGAGUGGGGAGAAAUGAUAGCCCAGAUUUUAUAGCUUAAUGCUGCAACUUUUAAAAAGCGUGAUUUCUCCAGAGAAAUUAACACAGUUUCAGGGGAUAGUGUCCCCUCUGCUCCCCCGUCCCAGGUAUCAGUAAAAUUUUAUAGCUCCCCGGGUGGUUCCAAUGUGCAGCCAAGACCGAGGACCACUGUUUUUAAAACAAGAGCCCCUAUCCAAGAUCCCUUACACAGAGGCCAAUCACAGAAAUAGAAUUAAACCUUAACAAGGUGGUUUAAGUUUAUUCAACUAUCUUAUACUAGUUUUCCGGUGGCAAUGGGUGUUAUUUAAACAAGUUGACAAAUACUAGGUCAAAUAAAGUUAUCCAGCCUUCUUCUGACUUCUCAGGUACUAAUAAACUGACAUUAGGCUCUCCAAGAAAAGCAUUCAUACACAGCUUUUGUAACUUAAUUUUACUAGAGAACCUCCUUCUUUUACUUCCCUUUCAUUCAUUUUCUUCCCCCAACCGUAACUCUGGCAUUGGAUGGAACAAACUCACUUUACAAAAUGUAAUAUUUAAAACAAAGCCUGAGGAUUGGUCAAAUAUUUGGCUGAGGUAAAAUUCUAUACUAAAGUUUGAAUUAAGUUCUCAAAAAUGGAAUUCAGAAUAUACUGUCAGUCAUUUUGCCCAUAAUAUUUCACUAGAAUUAAUCCUUUGGGAAAUGGGUAGGUGCUCAACCUAUGGACACCUGAAAUCUUCUCUAGGACUUAGAUGUAGUUAACUGCAAAGGAGCAAAACAAAUGGAAUGAGUACACAGAAUUUAAAAGGAGAAAUCUGCAGAACACAUUUGUCCAAGUCAACCACCAGAAGGAAACCUAAACCCAGCACAAUGAUUACCACCAUCUCACAUCAGGUCUUUCUCAUAAGGCCUAACGAACCUUGGAGUUUGGUUAUUUCUUUGAUCAUAUCUGAAAGAAUAGGCUCCUCCCACACACCGCCCCACAAAAGGUAAUAAGCAAGGAGAAGUUUCACAUAUUAACAAUAGUGGCUCUAAAAUGUUCAAUUUCUCAGGAAGAAGGUUUCAAAUAGAAGUAGUGGUAAUUGUGACCCAGAAUCUAGAAAUGUGGAUUAUAUAAAUUUGAGGGCACCAAACAUUUAUGAAGACAAUGAGUUAUAGAGAAAUCGCUUUAAAAUUUUAGUUUAAAGGCUAUUAUUUUUAAAUGAGUUACAGAGACUGAUAUGUCUGCUUUCUAAAUGAAAAAAAAAAAAAAAAAGGAGACUUAAUUCCCACUGCAUGAAUUCUUGAAAUUAGGGUAAUUUCCAUUUUUCUAACUAUGAAUCAUACAAAAUUAAAGUAAUUCCAAUUAAAAACUGGUUCCUAUAAAAUUAAAACUCAGUGUUCCACAAAUUCAUCUGAAAGCUGGAGAGAUUAGGGCUAUUUAUUGGCAAACUUUCCAGAUUUAAAAUCUGAAUAUAAGGAAAUAAAAUAAAUCAGUCUAACAAGGCAAAUUGAUUUUUCCUUUACAUUGAAAAGGUAGGGAGGAAAAAGAGAAUUAAGAAAACCAUUUUUUUGCUUACUUUAGGGAGAGAGAAUAUAAUAAGACUCUCCUAACUCUGCUGUGGCUAAAAGGCAAAAAGUAAUAAAGUCAGAAGAAAACAUCAUUCUCUUUUAAAAAAUACUAUCUAUACAGACAAAAACUGUGAGGGGUUAAGAGCAGCAAAUGCUCAAGGAACUCUCUAGAAAGGAAAUACUGUUAAGUCUUUUUUAAAAAGAGCCAAGAAUGUCAAGUUUUAUCAGCUUUUUUCAAUAAGAGACGUUUUAAGCAAAUAUGCUGUGUUCUAGAGUACCCUUAAUCUGUGGAAACAAACACAUGGACUCUGUACUAUAAAUACACAAUGACAUUAAGAAAAGAUUUAACUAAAGGCCCCGCAUGUAGCAGAACCACAAGGUUUAUCAGUGUGCGUUACCGUGUGUGUGUUACCAGUGUGCGCACCUGAAUCGCCCAGCGCCUCGGACCCAGCGCCUCUGCAUCUGGAGAAAAGGAUCCCCACCUGCCUUAUUCUUUUUCCCCAACCAGUUUUGAUACCUAAAUGCAGAGUUCCUUCUAAGUGCUAACAUGUUGAAACAACUGUUACUUAUUUAGAGCCCUGAAAGAACUGCCUUCUGGGGAAGUCACCAACCAGCUAUCCUUGAGCUCUGCAGUCAACAACCAGCUAUCCUUGAGCUCUGCACUUUCCAAAAAACAUUCCUCAGGAAAGCCAUUCAUAUAAAUUUUCUACUUUUUCUUUUCAAAAGCACUGCUAAUACUUAAGGAGAAAAAGUAGUAAAUCAAAAUUUUAACGCAAGCCUUUCCCCCCCCAAUAUUAAGAAACAAAGAAUGUUUUAAAAAUAUAAGAAAACUUCAUAAAAAUAAAGCGUUCCAGAAAGUACAUCUAUCUCAUUCCGCUACUUUCAAAUCUCAUUCCGCUACUUUCAAAUUAGCAAAGUUACUCAAGGCAAGAAUUUAUCAAGUUCAGUUUUUCUCAUUUAUGUUAGCAUCCUCAUGAAUAACAUAAUUGCUUAAAAAAACCCUAUAAAAACUAAGGUAAUUUCCAAAACAAAUUUAAAAAUGAGAUUUAACAGCAAAAAGGAAUUCUUUAUAUCAUAAAAGUAAUUUAUUCAUAAAAUUGCCUACUAUCCUACUUUCAAACAUCUGUAUAAAACAUUUAAAAGGUUUCUAAAGUAUUUAAUCAGGCCUCCUCUAUUUUCUCACUCCUCUAGCCUUCAUUUCCACACCUAUAUCACUGUCUACACAUAGGACUGUGUAUAUCGAUGACAGUAAAUUCUGAAAGAACAAAUAAGUUUUCUUUUGAUUAAAGGCAAGUGGAAACCUUAAACUCAAACUUGUAAAAACUGGAACAUAAGGAAUGAUUCCCAGAUCAAUUUGUUUUUUAUUUUAUUUUUAAACAGAUUUCUUCCAAGAAUGCCUCUUGUCUCAAGAAAAAUGUUAAAUUACAGGCAUACACAGCUGCCUUCAUAGCUAUACUAUGCAAACAUGAAGGAUAACAUUUGGUUUAUAUCUAUUGCAAUUUUUAUUAAGUCCACAAAAACAGUGACUCUCUUCUGUCAAGCUUCAUGUUGCCUGUACUUGAAGUCACCUCAACACCAAUUUUUGACUGCUAAAUUCAGAGAUGGUUCUUUCUUGUUUGAAGCUCUGUAUCAUUUAUAGUGUUUCUUCACAAUUUCCACCCACAAACCCUUCAUCUUAAACUGCACUCGUCCUUUCUCCUCAAUAAUUCUUUAUACAUGCUCUACACCCCAAGUCAAGCUAUAUACAUAGCAAUUAUCACGUCAGUGAAUAGGAACUGGUUUCUUCUAGGACCCAUAUGUCAAAGAUUCUAUUUCAUUUACUCCAAAAUAUUUUUGUUUCCUUUAGAAACCAAUUAAUCAAACAUCACAAAUAACAUAACCAUGAUCUUUUUAUUUACAGACUGUCCUUAAAGCACAGAAUCAAUCACUAAAUGCAAGCACUCUAUACAAAAGAGAUAAUAAGGAAACUAAAUUGUUUACCAUUAAUGUAUUAGUAACUAAUUGGGGUUCCAAGUCUUAAACUGAGAAAAACACACAGCUGAAAAUAGAGUCCAUCUACUGGCUUAUUAAGGUUAAGAUGUUUGUUAAAAAAAGUUUGGGCAUUUAAACCUAUUCUGAUCAGUUCAGAAAUUGUUUCACUGGAUCUAAAGGCCCAAUCAUCCUAUUGCUAUGAUAUCCUUGGCUUGCGUGAUAAAUUGUAAACCAGUGCAUUACUCUCGGAAAAGAAAACUUAUGAUAAUCACUACCAUAGUGCAUUUCUACACAGGCUUAGACUGGAAACAAGUCUGUCUGAAGCAGGCAAUCACACAAAAAACAUGAAUGGCAAGUUCUACAUAAAGGAAAAGCACUAAAGUCCCAAAGUCCAAGUGCUUGGGCUCAUGUUACAUGAUUGUUUAGUGGCUUGAGUCCGUCUGAACAACAGCUGCUAUGUCGCAAGAUCCAAAAAGUAAAGAAAAACUUCCAACAAUUACUUACUGAAGAUUAGGUGAGGUGUUUCGGAAUAUCAAAGCUUUAACAGAAUAAACAUGCUAAGAAAGAGUCCAAGAUAUGAAAUAGCUUAUGUGUGUAUAUGAAUCACACACAAGGUAAGAAAUUAAGUGCUAGGCUCUACAACAAAGUCGAACAGGUUAAAUCAUAUCUGGUACUUAAUCUAUUGGACAAUCUUUUUACUCUUAUUGUAAAAAUUUCCUUUAAUUUUCUCACUUUUAAUUUUUAUGAUUUC
Hipposideros armiger (great roundleaf bat) is the source of this 11526-nucleotide RNA transcript. It is a transcript of the gene named EMAP like 6, with no coding region annotated. NCBI's taxonomy places the organism in Eukaryota, Metazoa, Chordata, Mammalia, Chiroptera, Hipposideridae. The record is from RefSeq and is a predicted model, not a curated record. The transcript has 45 exons.